UACGUAGGGUGCAAGCGUUAAUCGGAAUUACUGGGCGUAAAGCGUGCGCAGGCGGUUAUGCAAGACAGAUGUGAAAUCCCCGGGCUUAACCUGGGAACCGCAUUUGUGACUGCAUAGCUGGAGUACGGCAGAGGGGGAUGGAAUUCCGCGUGUAGCAGUGAAAUGCGUAGAUAUGCGGAGGAACACCGAUGGCGAAGGCAGGCCCCUGGGCCUGUACUGACGCUCAUGCACGAAAGCGUGGGGAGCAAACAGG
RNAcentral lists this ribosomal RNA (253 nucleotides) under uncultured bacterium. Its description in RNAcentral is "partial 16S ribosomal RNA". It matches the Rfam family "Bacterial small subunit ribosomal RNA", at positions 524 to 776 of the family's 1533-position model. The record is from RNAcentral.